GAAUAUGAAGCUUGAUAAAGUCUCAGUUUUGCAAAGACUGAUGAGGAUUGUGAUAUCCCAUAUUUU
Molecule: transfer RNA, 66 nt
Filed under: Hymenolepis microstoma
Lineage: Eukaryota; Metazoa; Platyhelminthes; Cestoda; Cyclophyllidea; Hymenolepididae
Description: tRNA-Cys
Source: RNAcentral